RNAcentral lists this small RNA (28 nucleotides) under Bombyx mori (domestic silkworm). RNAcentral's name for it is "ovarian small RNA-12027". Lineage: Eukaryota; Metazoa; Arthropoda; Insecta; Lepidoptera; Bombycidae. The record is from RNAcentral.
AGCAAUGUCAUCCGUUCGGUGGAAGAUA